UUUGGAGAUGGAGCUAGAGAAGGCAGAAAUUGAACGAUCUACCUAUGUUACAGAAGUGAGAGAGCUGAAAGACCUGUUGACUGAAUUGCAGAAAAAACUUGAUGAUUCAUAUUCUGAAGCAGUAAGACAGAAUGAAGAGCUAAAUUUGGAGUCUUCUGAAAAGGAGACCAUGUCUGUAAGUCUAAAUCAGACUAUAGCGCAGCUACAGCAGUUGCUUCUGGCUGUAAACAAACAGCUCACAAAGGAGAAAUGACACUACCAACUUUGGAGUGAAGUAAUGGGGAAACUGUUCGAUUGAGGAUAACAGAAGGCAUUG
Molecule: long non-coding RNA, 316 nt
Organism: Fukomys damarensis (Damara mole-rat)
Lineage: Eukaryota; Metazoa; Chordata; Mammalia; Rodentia; Bathyergidae
Exons: 4
Source: RefSeq, a predicted model, not a curated record